UACGUAGGGGGCAAGCGUUGUCCGGAUUUAUUGGGCGUAAAGAGCUCGUAGGUGGUUCGGUAAGUCGGAUGUGAAAUCUCCAGGCUCAACCUGGAGGGGUCAUUCGAUACUGCCGUGCUUGAGGACUGGAGAGGAGACUGGAAUUUACGGUGUAGCGGUGAAAUGCGUAGAUAUCGUAAGGAAGACCAGUGGCGAAGGCGGGUCUCUGGACAGUUCCUGACGCUGAGGCACGAAGGUCAGGGGAGCAAACGGG
This 253-nucleotide ribosomal RNA is filed under the name uncultured bacterium. RNAcentral describes it as "partial 16S ribosomal RNA". It matches the Rfam family "Bacterial small subunit ribosomal RNA", at positions 524 to 776 of the family's 1533-position model. The record is from RNAcentral.